UACGUAGGGUGCAAGCGUUGCCCGGAUUUAUUGGGCGUAAAGGGCGCGUAGGCGGCCACGCACGUCCGUUGUGAAAUCGCCCGGCUCAACUGGGCGGGGUCAGCGGAUACGGUGUGGCUCGAGCAAGCUAGGGGGCAAUGGAAUUCCCGGUGUAGUGGUGGAAUGCGUAGAUAUCGGGAGGAACACCAGUGGCGAAGGCGGUUGCCUGGAGCUUUGCUGACGCUGAGGCGCGAAAGCGUGGGGAGCGAACAGG
Molecule: ribosomal RNA, 253 nt
Filed under: uncultured bacterium
Lineage: Bacteria
Description: partial 16S ribosomal RNA
Rfam family: Bacterial small subunit ribosomal RNA
Source: RNAcentral